GCGGUAGCACAGGGAGCUUGCUCCUGGGUGACGAGCGGCGGACGGGUGAGUAAUGUCUGGGAAACUGCCCGAUGGAGGGGGAUAACUACUGGAAACGGUAGCUAAUACCGCAUAACGUCUUCGGACCAAAGUGGGGGACCUUCGGGCCUCACACCAUCGGAUGUGCCCAGAUGGGAUUAGCUAGUAGGUGAGGUAAUGGCUCACCUAGGCGACGAUCCCUAGCUGGUCUGAGAGGAUGACCAGCCACACUGGAACUGAGACACGGUCCAGACUCCUACGGGAGGCAGCAGUGGGGAAUAUUGCACAAUGGGCGCAAGCCUGAUGCAGCCAUGCCGCGUGUGUGAAGAAGGCCUUCGGGUUGUAAAGCACUUUCAGCGAGGAGGAAGGGUUCAGUGUUAAUAGCACUGUUCAUUGACGUUACUCGCAGAAGAAGCACCGGCUAACUCCGUGCCAGCAGCCGCGGUAAUACGGAGGGUGCAAGCGUUAAUCGGAAUUACUGGGCGUAAAGCGCACGCAGGCGGUUUGUUAAGUCAGAUGUGAAAUCCCCGAGCUUAACUUGGGAACUGCAUUUGAAACUGGCAAGCUAGAGUCUUGUAGAGGGGGGUAGAAUUCCAGGUGUAGCGGUGAAAUGCGUAGAGAUCUGGAGGAAUACCGGUGGCGA
This 661-nucleotide ribosomal RNA is filed under the name Serratia sp. 1ANAIII. RNAcentral's name for it is "bacterial SSU rRNA". It matches the Rfam family "Bacterial small subunit ribosomal RNA", at positions 66 to 718 of the family's 1533-position model. The record is from RNAcentral. Lineage: Bacteria; Pseudomonadati; Pseudomonadota; Gammaproteobacteria; Enterobacterales; Yersiniaceae.